This 636-nucleotide ribosomal RNA is filed under the name Ceramiales sp.1 GW-2017. RNAcentral describes it as "LSU rRNA". It matches the Rfam family "Eukaryotic large subunit ribosomal RNA", at positions 1273 to 1904 of the family's 3401-position model. Lineage: Eukaryota; Rhodophyta; Florideophyceae; Ceramiales. The record is from RNAcentral.
CAGGAGUGUGUAACAACUCACCUGCCGAAUGAAUUAGCCCUGAAAAUGGAUGACGCUAAAGCGGGCAGCCGACACCACACCGUUUGAGGAAAAAAAGACUCAAAUGAGUAGGAGGAACGUGGCGGUCGUGUUGAAGCGUGCGUGCAAACGUGCGUGGAACGGCCGCUAGUGCAGAUCUUGGUGUUAGUAGCAAAUAUUCAAACGAGAACCUUGAAGGGCGAAGUGGGGAAGGGUUCCACGCGAACAUUGAUUGAGCGUGGGUAAGUCGUUCCUAAGCCGCGUGGCAAUAGCUAAUUACCGGCGAAAGGGAAGCAGGUUGAUAUUCCUGCACACGGAUGUGGAAGCGGUGACGCAUACUUGGGACGGUGAAGCUGGCGAUGGCUCUGGGCAGAGUUUUCUUUUCUGUUUAACUUCUGUGCUCGCAGUGUGGAAUCCGAUUGUCGGGAGAAACACGCGGGUCUGGGAAUAGCGCCGGGUUUUUUUCCGGCGUCCAGAACGCCAUCGUCGGACCUUGAAAAACUGUCUGCAGGCUUCUUUAUUGCAAAGUUGUCAAUAGUAAAAAUCCACGCCGUGACGUACCGAUAACCGCAUCAGGUCCCCAAGGUGAACAGCCUCUGCUCGAUAUGAAAAUGCAGG